GAUGAAGAACGUAGCGAAAUGCGAUACUUGGUGUGAAUUGCAGAAUCCCGUGAACCAUCGAGUCUUUGAACGCAAGUUGCGCCCGAAGCCAUCAGGUUGAGGGCACGUCUGCCUGGGCGUCACAUAUCGUUGCCCAAUGCCUAUUGCAGUGCAAUAGGAAUUUCUAGGGCGAAUGAUGGCUUCCCGUGAGCGUUGUUGCCUCGCGGUUGGUUGAAAAUUGAGUCCUUGGUAGGGUGUGCCAUGAUAGAUGGUGGUCGAGUUUGCACGAGACCGAUCAUGUGUGCGCUCCCCAAAAUAUGGACUCUUUGACCCCACACGCGUCUUUUGACGCUCAUGACGAGACCUCAGGUCAGGCGGGGCUACCCGCUGAGUUUAAGCAUAUCAAUAAGCGGAGGA
This 396-nucleotide unclassified non-coding RNA is filed under the name soil metagenome. RNAcentral's name for it is "partial contains 5.8S ribosomal RNA, internal transcribed spacer 2, and large subunit ribosomal RNA". The stretch from base 1 to 122 matches the Rfam family "5.8S ribosomal RNA", at positions 35 to 154 of the family's 154-position model. The record is from RNAcentral.